UGCAUGUCUAGUACAUGCCGUGUAAAGGCGAAACCGCGAAUGGCUCAUUAAAUCAGUUAUGGUUUCCUAGAUCGUAAGUUAUUACUUGGAUAACUGUGGUAAUUCUAGAGCUAAUACAUGCUGCACUACUCCGACCGCAAGGGACGAGCGCUUUUAUUAGACCAAGACCAAACGAGCUUUGCUCGUAAACGUGAUGACUCUGUAUAACUUAGAGCUGAUCGCAGGGGCUUGACCCGGCGACGUAUCUUUCAAGUGUCUGCCUUAUCAACUGUCGAUGGUAGGUUAUGCGCCUACCAUGGUUGCAACGGGUGACGGGGAAUCAGGGUUCGAUUCCGGAGAGGGAGCCUGCGAAACGGCUACCACAUCCAAGGAAGGCAGCAGGCGCGCAAAUUACCCACUCCCGGCACGGGGAGGUAGUGAUGAAAAAUAACGAUACGAAUCUCUUUUGAGACCUCGUAAUCGGAAUGAGUACAUUUUAAAACGUUUAGCGAGUAUCUAUUGGAGGGCAAGUCUGGUGCCAGCAUCCGCGGUAAUUCCAGCUCCAAUAGCGUAUAUUAAAGUUGUUGCGGUUAAAACGCUCGUAGUUGGAUCUCAGUCCGCGGCUAACGGUUCGCCUCACGGCGGUUACUGCUUGUCCUGGACAAUUUGCUGGUUUCCUGUGAUGAUCUUCACCGAUUGUCUCAGGUGACUGGCGCCUUUACUUUGAAAAAAUUAGGGUGCUCAAAGCAGGCAUGAUGCCUGAACAAUGGUGCAUGGAAUAAUGGAACAGGACCUCGGUCUUAUUUUGUUGGUUUUUGGGACACGAGGUAAUGAUUAAGAGGAGCAGACGGGGGCAUUCGUAUUGCGACGAUAGAGGUGAAAUUCUUGGACCGCCGCAAGACGAACUACAGCGAAGGCAUUUGCCAAGAAUGUUUCCGUUAAUCCAGAACGAAAGCCAGAGUAUCGAAGGUGAUUAGAUACCGCCCUAGUUCUGACCAUAAACGAUGUCAGCCAGCGAUCAGGAUGUGUUCGUCAAAUAACACUUCUGGCAGCUUCCGGGAAACCAAAGCUUUUGGACUCCGGGGGAAGUAUGGUUGCAAAGCUGAAACUUAAAGGAAUUGACGGAAGGGCACCACAAGGAUUGGAGCCUGCGGCUUAAUUUGACUCAACACGGGAAAACUUACCUGGCCCGGACACAGGUAGGAUUGACAGAUUAAUAGUUCUUUCUCGAUUCUGUGGGUGGUGGUGCAUGGCCGUUCUUAGUUCGUGGAUUGAUUUGUCUGGUUAAUUCCGAUAACGAACGAGACUCUAGCCUACUAAAUAGACACUCUGAUCGGUCACGUCGGACAGUUCUUCUUAGAGGGACAAGCUGCGUUUAGCCGCACGAAACUGAGCAAUAACAGGUCUGUGAUGCCCUUAGAUGUCCAGGGCCGCACGCGCGCUACAAUGAAGGAAUCAACGCGUGCUACCCUUGUCUGACAAGAUUAGGUAACCGGUUGAACCUCCUUCGUGACUGGGAUAGGGGCUUGCAACUGUUCCCCUUGAACGAGGAAUUCCUAGUAAGCGCGAGUCAUCAGCUCGUGUUGAUUACGUCCCUGCCCUUUGUACACACCGCCCGUCGCUACUACCGAUUGAAUGAUUUAGUGAGGUCUUCGGACUGACUCUCGGAACGGCCACCCGGGUCGCGCCGACGUGCCGGAAAGAUGACCAAACUUGAUCAUUUAGAGGAAGUAAA
Molecule: ribosomal RNA, 1714 nt
Filed under: Palpimanus transvaalicus
Lineage: Eukaryota; Metazoa; Arthropoda; Arachnida; Araneae; Palpimanidae
Description: SSU rRNA
Rfam family: Eukaryotic small subunit ribosomal RNA
Source: RNAcentral